AUUGAACGCUGGCGGCAGGCCUAACACAUGCAAGUCGAGCGGAUCGGCUUUCGGGUGCGUAAUUCCUAGUAAUCUGCCUGGUAGUUGUGGCUACCGUCCGGAAACGGGCGCUACUACCGCAUCCUAUCCGAUGAGCCUAGUGCGGAUUGGCUAGUUGGUGGGGUAAAGGCCUACCAAGGCGACGAUCCGUAACUGGUCUGAGAGGAUGAUCAGUCACACUGGAACUGAGACACGGUCCAGACUCCUACGGGAGGCAGCAGUGGGUAUUAUUGGACAAUGGGCGAAAGCCUGAUCCAGCCAUGCCGCGUGUGUGAAGAAGGUCUUCGGAUUGUAAAGCACUUUAAGUUGGGAGGCGUGAGCAACAGAAUAAGAACCGGCUAACUCCGUGCCAGCAGCCGCGGUAAUAG
This 407-nucleotide ribosomal RNA is filed under the name uncultured bacterium. RNAcentral's name for it is "partial 16S ribosomal RNA". It matches the Rfam family "Bacterial small subunit ribosomal RNA", at positions 30 to 526 of the family's 1533-position model. The record is from RNAcentral.